ACACCACUUGAUUACGAGGACAACCAAUGCAUAUGGCAUAUAGCGACCUACACUUGAUAAGUUAUCGUCCUUGUUAAUAACUUAUCAUUUGAUCGUGAACAAUUUAAGAACCAUCCGAUAAAUCCUCCUUUAUCAAUUGAUUGUGGUUCUAAGGACUUCAUCAUAAUUUAGGAGUUUAUUUAAGGAAGAUAGUUCUUUUAUGAUGAACCUACCAAAUAACUAUUAUUAUUAGAUAAUUCAUAU
Molecule: long non-coding RNA, 243 nt
Filed under: Elaeis guineensis (African oil palm)
Lineage: Eukaryota; Viridiplantae; Streptophyta; Magnoliopsida; Arecales; Arecaceae
Description: long non-coding RNA (EGUI_LNC073567)
Source: RNAcentral